CGGCUGAUAAUAAACAUGUCACUCUGCGAUUUUUGGGUGAAUGUGCAUUCUAACCCCAAAAACACCAAUUAUCAGCUUGGAUUGGGCUGAUAAACAUGUCACUCUGCGAUAUUUGGGUGAAUGUGCAUUCUAACCCCAAAAACACCAAUUUGAAAUAAGCCCAAUCAGAGCUUUAUCAUCUUCUUUUUAUGUAGAUGGAACCCAAAAGACCUUUUUGCUUUGGUUGGGGGUGAUUCUGGUGCACACCCAUAAAACCCCAUGCGAAUUGAAAUAAGCACAAAGCCACUUCCGGCCUGCCCAGGAGGUGGGGUUGCGGGCUUCACACCCACCCCCCACGUGAGCGGGGGCUGGUUUCGGCCCCCGCGAGAGCAGGGGAAUCCCGGCCGUGUCUGCCCUAUUUAGGGCCGGCGCAGAGGGGGCUCACCCUCUUUUCGCCAGCUAGCCCCCACGUUUUUUUCCCGCCUGUCAGCUGUUCCUGUUUGUCGGAGAUCUUAUCUGCGUUGCCUGGAGCUUUCCUGCCUUGCUUCUUUGUUGCCUUUGUUCUUGAGCUGCAGGGCACCUCGUGGAAUUUGCUGUAGCUUCACAGAAAAAGCUCCAUUUCUUUUACAGAGAAUUUCCAUCAUUCGCUGCUGGUGUUGCUUGAUUUCUAAACUGCUUGAUGUUCAGGAGUUGUUAUCUCUAGUUUUGGAGCUGAAACCAAUUUGGGGCUUUUUUCCUUCUGGGGGUUUCCCCCCUUUGCGCUCCAUUCCAGCUGCUGCAGUUUAACACCGGAGCUGUAAUUGAGCUAAAAUCACUGUGUGUGUGUUUGUGUGCUUUCCUUCCAGCAUCUCUUUCACGUCUACAGUUUUACAGGGAGCUCUGUGUGUUUCGGUGCAAGUUCCCUGCCCUCAGGAGCUUGCCGUGCCUGCUGCUGCAUGCCCCCUUCAGAGGAAUUUAUCCAGCUUUGUGGACCUUUUUCUGCUGAUCCGUUGCUUGCCCUCGGCUGCUGACUGCCUGUUCUGCAAGGAGCUCAAGGAAGAACGUUUGGCUCCUCUUCGUUAUUUCCACGGAGGACGCAGCGCACCCAUCCAAUCAGGUUUUGCUGUUGGGGCUUCAGGUUUUAGCUUGGGGUUUGUGCAGGGGAGCGUGGUGCAAUUAGGCGGAACGGCAGCUGCGGGAGGAGAGCGGGCUGCAUUUUGUGCCAGUUGUGUUUCAUUUUCUUGCCAGGGUGAGGGGCAGAAUUUCUUGUUAAAUAAUCAUUUCAGCAGCAUUCUUGAGGGGGUGAGUGGCUUCCACAGAGCAUCGCUUCCUCUACAGGCUGUUUUAUUUUCCCGCGGAAGUUUAGACUUGGAAAGCCUCGGAAGCAGCUGCGCCGUUGCUGGGCAACCAGCGCCCCAGCCGCCAUUUCAUCCGCCCACGUGCCCUUCCGGGCGGCCGCCAUUUUACUAUAGGCAUUCCACGUGGGAAGUAACUUUACAAACCCUCCCUUUUAAGCUUAACCGGCGAGAAAACCAGGGGAAUAAUUAACGUUCAUAAGGGGUACGUGGGGAAUGCCUGCAGGUUUUGCUCUUGAGGCUGCGGAAUUUUUUCAGUGUUAAAGGGCUAGCGUUAAAUGUUCAUUGUCGCUAGGCAACGGGAACGCAUUACGGCCGCCAUUUUGAUUGCCCACGUGGCCUUGCGGCGGCAGCCAUUUUAGGAGAGGCAAAACCAUGUGGGAGCUAUCUCCUUUUCGAGUGCCCCUCACUUUCUCCUUGGUUUUAAAUUCAAAAGCAAUAUAAACAAAGGAAAUAAACAUAAGCAAUAUAAACAAAGGAUGAUGGCGUAAUUAAAAGAGCCUAGCUUAAAUAAGAGUGCACAAGGGGCUGCAGGGAGCCCCUCCUCUUGGUGCAUAAGCUUGUAUAGCUACAGCGUCUCUGGCUAGGCUGAUCUUAGAAUUGAUAUCCUCUAAUUAAUUUGACUGCUUUUGUUUAUACUUACACUCUUGAGAAUUUCAUUCUGGGAAUUUACGAAACGCAUUUAAAUUAAAUUGAAGCAUUAGUGCACAGUAUAUUGGAAUUCAAAUUAUUUCAUUCAGCUUGCGGUGCUCUGAGGAGCUGUGUCAUUUACUCUCUGCCUAGGCAUUAAGUUUUAUAAUUUGGUAUAGUCAAUUCAUAGUUAUAAGGAAAAAGAGAUCCGGGUUUUAUAUCUUUGCAUACAGGUUUAUAGGGAAUCUAAAGUAAAUAGCUCAUGCCUCUUCUACGUUCAUCUCUUUCUGGUAUUUCAUCUGUUAGUUUAUAAGUAUCUAUUUAAUCUGGCAAUUUAAUUCAUUUGGUUGAUUUUGAUAAUAGUGCUUAAGGGCUCUUUGGAGCUUUGCUUUGCUUAUAGGUUUGUUGCUGUCAGGGGUUCAGGAGCAGAGGCAAGGGCAAGGGAGGAAACAGAGAGCGAGGGGGAGGAGGCAGAAGAAAAGAUGAGUGAUGACGACGACCCGAGAUCUCCGAGUCUUUCCAGUGAAUCAGAAGAUUCACAGAGAAGAUAGAGCCAGAGGGGACUCAGAGGGGAGCAGUUGGAAAUCGGGACCAGCGUCACCGCCAGAGAGCAGGGAAGAGGAAGGGAGCCAGCGAUCAAGCGCUGGCAGCUCACAACAGGGGGGAGGGCACGAGUCAGGAGUGGCCACACCUCCAUCGGGGAGCGAAGAAACGGUCAGACGGAAGGUGGAAGGUUGGGCGCGCGCGCCAAGUUCAAAUGCACAGGAAGGUGACUGUCAGAGCUGCUUCCAGAUCCUAGCUCACAGAGGAUCACGCUAGCCAGCGAUCAUUAAACAAAAGUCUUUAUUGAGUUACAGUUUCCAUUCUCAAGCUGCUGCGUGCAACUCUACGUCUCAUGCUUAGACCGGCGAAGCUCCGUCUGAGUCUCCGCCCCUUGUACACCAACUUAAUAUCCUAGCCCUGCUCCACCUUUUCCGCCUGACUGUUCUUCUCUGGGUCCCUCUGCCCCCCCCGGGGUCUCUUCCUUCCGGGAUUCCUCUGACGCUGACGCUGACUCCCCUGACUCUUCUCCCUCCUUUCGGCGGGCUUUGGGACCUGGCUCCCUUUCCGGGCUGCCUACUGCGCCACCUUCCUGUGCAUUUGAACUUGCGCGCGCGCCCAACCUUCCACCUUCCGUCUGACCGUUUCUUCGCUCCCCGAUGGAGGUGUGGCCACUCCUGACUCGUGCCCUCCCCCCUGUUGUGAGUUGCCAGCGCUUGAUCCCUGGUGCCCUUCCUCUUCCCUGCUCUCUGGCGGUGACGUUGGUCCCGAUUUCCAACUGCUCCCCUCUGAGUCCCCUCUGGCUCUAUCUUCCUGGGGUGUCCCCCUAGGCUCCCCCCUUGCCCUGGCCACUGGUGCUCCUUUCUGUGAAUCUUCUGAUUCACUGGAAAGACUCGGAGAUCUCGGGUCGUCGUCAUCACUCAUCUUUUCUUCUGCCUCCUCCCCUCGCUCUCUGUUUCCUCCCUUGCCCUUGCCUCUGCUCCUGAACCCCUGACAUCCAUCCCCCUCGAAGCCCCCUCUUCCCCCUCCCCUCCUUCCGGUGCGGGAUCUGGGUGCUGCCGUGUCAGGGGACGAAUGUCGGAUACAGUUCGCUUCCCGUGGCGGGCCGCCAUCUGAAGUCUUCCGGUUCUUCCUCCCUGCUCUCGUUGACGACGGUCACCUCCGCUUCCAUCUCUGUGCCGCCGUGCUCGAAACCCGGGUCGUCCCCGAAAAAGUCCAUGUCCGUCUCUCCCUCGUUGCCUUCUGGAGACGUUGCUCGUCCUGGGACCUCCAGCCACCUUCUACGGAACUGCUCCUCUGGUCGAUCAUCCCACCAAUACGAGGGUUCUGAAGCAGAUCCUGAGGGUGACCCCUCCGGGGAACGGGCGUCUCGUGUCGGUUCCUCGUCCGAGUCGAACCCCCGGAACGUGCUGGCUGAAAGCGUGGGCGUGAAAAGCCAGUCGUCGAAAAGUCUGCUGGCAUUGGCCUAUGUGGGAAGAGGGCAUGAAACUCUUCUUUGAGCAGAGGUUCGUCUAAAGCGUAGCCCGGCACCCAGCUGUUGGCACUGGCCGGGGUGCCCUCCUUGGCGAGAAGGUAUUCUACCCCCUCUUCCCCCCAUCUGGAGUCCAAAAUCUCCGUGACUUCGUUGAUGCGCUCCUCCCGUGCCACUCCCCCCUGCCCGGUUCUCUCUCGGAGCGGACCCGGUGCCGUUCCUGGUUCCUGAAACCUGUGAGGUGCCUUGUAGGGAGUGAGCACCGAUCUGUGGAACACCGGAUGCAUUCUGGAACCCUCCGGAAGAGCCAGCCUGAAAGCUACCGGGUUGACCUGUUCUUCGACUUGGUAGGGCCCCAGUUGUUUAUGCCCUAGUUUCUUCUUCGCCAACGACCUGGCCGGCACUGCGUGGGCUGCUAACCAGACCCAGUCUCCCACAUGGAUCUCUUCGCCAACCCUUCGGUGUUUGUCCGCUUGUACCUUGUAUGCGUGUUUAGCCAGCUCCAGGUGCCGCCGCAGCUGAUCGUGGACCUCCUGCAACUCCGACGCGAAUGCAUCUGCUGUCUGCGGCUCCCCUCCCCCAUUCUUUCCAGUCCCGGGAAGGUUCUGGGGUGCCUCCCGUUGUUGGCGAAGAACGGCGUGACCCCCGUGGACACGUGCUUCGUGUUGUUGUAGGCAAACUCGGCGAGAGGCAGGUAAUCCACCCACGUCGCAGGCUGUUGAUUCGCAUAACAUCUCAGGUACUGCUGCAUGAUGGCAUUGACUCCGCUCCGCUUGCCCAUUGGUCUGCGGGUGUCUAGCCGACGCCAGGUUGAUCUUGACGUUCAGGAAGCCCAUCAGCCUCUGCCAGAAGUUCGAGAUGAACUGUCGCCCUCGGUCGGACAGAAUAGACCGCGGCAGACCGUGAACCUUGAACACGUGGUCUAUGAACAGUUUGGCGGUUUGUUCCGCCGUGGCCACCUUCGCACACGGAAUGAAAUGUGCCAUCUUGGAGAACAAGUCCACCACCACCAGCACAGCCGUCUUGCCCCUCGAGCUGGGCAGAUCCGUGACAAAGUCCAGGGCCACUCUCUCCCAUGGUUCGAACGGAGUUUGCAGCGGUUCCAGCAGUCCGGCCGGCGGUCUGUGCACUGGUUUGGCCCUCUGGCAGGUGUCACACCUCGCCACGUAGUCCGCGACUUCCCCUCUCAUUCCUGGCCACCAGAAGUCUCUGGCUACUAAUUCCACCGUUUUCUCCUUGCCAAAGUGCCCGGCAGUGGGCGCGUCGUGCAGCUGCUGCAGUACCUUGGCGCGAAGUUCGUCUCCCGGCACGUAGAUGGCCCCUUUACGGAUGAGCAAACCAUCUCGCAGCUGGAACUCGUCGGUCGCUGCCGUGCCCCUGUGCGCCUCUGCCAUCUUUGCUUGCGCGAAGGAGUCAUCCUGCAACGCUCGUCGCACCGCCUCCAGGUCAACUGUCGCCGCCGUGCACGCCCACACUGUCGGUGCGAAGAUGUGCAUGGCGGCCGCUGGCGUUGCCUCCUCCAAAUACUGUGGCUUACGGGAGAGAGCAUCCGCCAUGAUGUUGGUGUCCCCCGGGACAUACUCUAUUCGGAAGUCGAAAUUCGCAAAGAACUCAGCCCAACGUAUCUGCCUCUGGUUCAGGAACUGUGCCGUGCGCCAGUGCUCUAGAUUCUUGUGGUCCGUGCAGACCUGCACCGUGUGCUUGGCGCCGAUCAGGAAGUGCCUCCACGCUUUGAACGCUGCAUGAAUGGCCAGCAACUCCCUGUCCCAGAUGGUGUAGUUCUGUUCGGACUUGCUGAGCUUCCUUGAGUAAAACGCUCCCGGCCUCCAAACCCCCUGCGGGUCCUUCUGCAGCAGGACUGCUCCCACGGCUCUGUCCGAAGCGUCUGUCUCCACCCUCAUCGGCCUGCUGGGGUUGACAUGAAGCAGUUGCUCUUCCGACGCGAAGAGACGCUUGAGUGCCUGAAAGGACUGCUCCGCCUGCUCUGUCCAGAUGAACUUCUUUUCUUGGAGCUGAGCGUGUCCGUGAUGGCCGCUGUCUGCAUGGCAAAGCCUUUGAUAAACUUGCGAUAGAAGUUCGCAAAGCCGACAAACCGUUGGACCUCCUUCCGGUUGCGUGGGCUUUUCCAAUCCAACACUGCUCGGACCUUGGUGCUGUCCAUGGCGAGCCCUUUAUCAGACAACUUGUAGCCCAGGAAAUCCACCUCCGUCACGUCGAAUUGGCACUUCUCCAGCUUGGCGUAAAGCCUAUGUUGCUGUAGCCUGCUCAGCACUUCUUUGACGUGCCUGUCAUGCUCCUGCUGCGAUUCCGAAAAGAUCAGGAUGUCAUCCAAGAAACAGACGCACGUCUUGUAGAGGAGCCCCGCCAACACGUGAUGCAUGAAAGCUUGAAAACGUGGGAACCAUUUUGCAAUCCAAAAGGCAUAACUCUAUAUUCGUAGGUGCCCAGGGGCGUGAACAUGGCUGUCUUCCACUCAUCUCCUUCCCGCAUGCGAAUGAGGUUGUACGGCCCUCGCAGGUCCAACUUGGUGAACACGCUGCCCUUCCGUACCUUCGCGAGGAGGUCGUCGAUUCGGGGCAUGGGGAAGUCCGAUGGCUUGGUCACGCUGUUCAAAAUGCGAUAGUCCACUACAAGUCUUUUUUGGGGCGUGUCCCUCUUCUUAACAAAGAAUACCGGACUGCCCCCCGCUGCCGUGGACUCUCGGAUGAAACCGCGCUCCAAAUUAUGAUCUAUGAACUCUUUGAGUUCCUGCAGUUCGUCCUCAGACAUGGAAUACAACUUCCCUUUGGGCAGCGCCGCCCCCGGCAGCAGGUCAAUUUUGCAGUCAUAUGGUCUGUGGGGGUAGCCUGUCUGCCUCCUUCUCACAGAAAACCUCCAAAAAUGCUGCGUACUUGUGGGGAACCGCUUGCAGCGUGCCGAGCUGCAGCUGUGACUCCUCUUCCUCUCCUUCCUGCCGGGGCACGAUGCAGUGUUCAGCGCAAAAGGAAGAGCCGAAGGUCAGCUGCCUCUGGUACCAAGCCAGCGUCGGGCUGUGCUUGUCCAGCCAACUCAUGCCCAAUACAAUGGGCGUGUCCGAUAGUUGAGUGACAUUGAAGCUGAUGAUUUCCCUGUGAUUCCCAAGUCUCAUCACCAUUGGUGGCGUCUGCUUCACCACUUGCCCCCCUAGCAGCUCCCUGCCAUCCACCGUGACAACCUGCAGGGGCAGCGUGGCAGGCAGCAACUGUAUAGCGUGCCGGUCGACAAAGUCCUGCCCUAUAAAGUCCGCAUUGCUUCCGGAGUCAAUGGUGAUUGGCACGUCCAUGUUGAUGCCAUUGGGCAGCUGGAGCGACGCGGUGAGCCUCACUACUGGUUUGGGCGGGAGGGGGUCCAUGGGCUGUAAAAUCUCUGGGGACUGCUUCACUGACACGUCUGGCUGGGCCCCAGUGCCUCUUCCUCCAGCCAGACUCCGUCGUUUCCCUGCCGUGGUUCUCCUUGCUGCGUUGCUGCAGUUACCAUUGCUGAGGCUGCAGUGUGCUUGUGGAGCCUCUGGGGACACUCUUUCGCCAUAUGCUGUGGAUCAUCGCAGAUGUAACACUUCCUGUUCCCUCUAGGAGGCUUCGCUUUCACUGCUGCCGGUGCUAGGGCUCUGGCUGCUGACUGAGCCCUUGCACCUCCAACCUCCAUAGGUUCCGCUCCUCCUCCUGGCGGAGGCGUGGAUUGCGCACGCGCUGCUUCUCUGGGAAGGAAGGAGGAGCCCCUGGCUGGUUCGCGCCCUCCACGCCCUUCAUCCCUGCUCCACGGACGUUCUUCCAGCCGCACCCCCACCGCCAGCGCCCUCUGAACGAUCUCCUGCGUGGUCCGGGGUCUCUCCCCCCUCGCAAUUUCAUCUUUAACCGAGCCGUGCAAUCCCUCCCAAAACAGGUCUCUUACAGGAGCCGAAUCUCUGUCCCAUUCCAGAGCACUGACCAAAGCGAAAAGCGGGCAUGGUACUGCCUUACGCUGGCCCUCCCUUGCUUCAGUCCAUGUAUCUGCUGCCGAGCAAGAUCCACGUCAAUGCUUGAUAAAAAGCACCCAUCCAUCGCUUUAAUAAAGGCAUCCGCAUUUUGGAGCGCCGGAUCCUUAUCUCUCCACAAAUUGCGCAGCCAUGCUUUAGCAUCUCCAUGCAAAUGGGACAUGAUGAAUCCCACCUUCUCUUGCUCAUCUCUAAAGUCUUUGUUCAGCAGUUGCAGUGCACACAUUACAUCUGCUCUAAAGUUGGGGUACUGUUGCAAAUUCCCAUCGAAGUGAGAGACCAGACCGCCUGUUCGUCUCCCCAACCCAAUCCCCUCCGGUUUGGGUGUCAGUUGCCCUUGCUUCGUAAGCACUUCCAACCUGACCUGGAGAUCCCUGUAGGCGGCAGCUGCGUCCUCCUCUCUCUUCCUGGAUGCAAGAGCCUCGGCAUUCAGUCGUGACACUGCUUCUCUGAGUUCCGCUAUCUGCUGUUCGGCCGUCAUAUUGUCUGCCGUUCGUGAGCUCGCUAGUAGGCACCCGCUUUCUCUCCUCUCCGCGAGGCCGUAGAUGCCCACAAUUUAGGAGACGGAGCUUACUGUCAGAGCUGCUUCCAGAUCCUAGCUCACAGAGGAUCACGCUAGCCAGCGAUCAUUAAGCAAAAGUCUUUAUUGAGUUACAGUUUCCAUUCUCAAGCUGCUGCGUGCAACUCUACGUCUCAUGCUUAGACCGGCGAAGCUCCGUCUGAGUCUCCGCCCCUUGUACACCAACUUAAUAUCCUAGCCCUGCUCCACCUUUUCCGCCUGACUGUUCUUCUCUGGGUCCCUCUGCCCCCCCGGGGUCUCUUCCUUCCGGGAUUCCUCUGACGCUGACGCUGACUCCCCUGACUCUUCUCCCUCCUUUCGGCGGGCUUUGGGACCUGGCUCCCUUUCCGGGCUGCCUACUGCGCCACCAUCCUGAGCAUUUGAUCUUGCAGCGCGCGCCCAACCUUCCACCUUCCGUCUGACCGUUUCUUCGCUCCCCGAUGGAGGUGUGGCCACUCCUGACUCGUGCCCUCCCCCCUGUUGUGAGUUGCCAGCGCUUGAUCCCUGGUGCCCUUCCUCUUCCCUGCUCUCUGGCGGUGACGUUGGUCCCGAUUUCCAACUGCUCCCCUCUGAGUCCCCUCUGGCUCUAUCUUCCUGGGGUGUCCCCUAGGCUCCCCCUUGCCCUGGCCACUGGUGCUCCUUUCUGUGAAUCUUCUGAUUCACUGGAAAGACUCGGAGAUCUCGGGUCGUCGUCAUCACUCAUCUUUUCUUCUGCCUCCUCCCCCUCGCUCUCUGUUUCCUCCCUUGCCCUUGCCUCUGCUCCUGAACCCCUGACAGGUGUCUUCUAGCUUGUCUUGUAUUUCUUGUGUUGACAAGGGUUUGUUAUUUUUAUAAAAGUCUAUUAGGCGAUAUAAGCCUUUGGUUCUCCAGGUUUUUAUCUUGAGGUUUUGUGCUGCAUGGUGGAAUAAUGGGUGGUACGCCAGGGGGAUUAGUGGGGAUGGGGUUGGGGAUAGUUUGCCUAUUUGUGUUUUCCAUGCUUUGAGCAUGGUCUGUGUGUACCUGUUAAGUGUUGUGGGAAUUUUCUUUAGUUUGUUUGGGAGGAGUGGGUAUGUUGUGGUGCAGGUGUUUUCAAUUGUGUCCCUCUCUAGGUGUACCCAUUGUUUUGUCUCAUCUUCUAGUAUAUAUGGGAUUAUAUGGCGUAUUUGGUUGGCAUUGUAAUAUGCUUCUAUGUUGGGGAUUCCCCAUCCUCCUUCUGAGGUGGGGAGGUGCAGGUAUUUGGGGCUUAUUCUUGGUUUUUAUGUGAGAAGAUGAAAGAGUGUAGUUUUCUCUGCCAACUGCGAAGUUGGGUUGAGGGGAUCCAGAUUGGGAGGGUUUGGAAUAGGUAGGUUAGUUUUGGGAGUGUGAUCAUUUUGAUCAUGGCUAUUUUGUCUGAGAGAGUGAAGUUCAUGUUAUUCCAUCUCUUUAGGUCUUUGUUAAUUUGUCGCCACAGGGGCUUGUAGUUGUGGAGGUACAAUUUAUUGAGGUUUCUGGUUAUUUGUACCCCUAGGUAUCUGAACUUGGUGUGGCAAAGUUUUAUUUUGGUGACCUUCGUGAGUUCUUUUUGGGUGUGAGGAGGGGUGUUGAAGCACAUAGCUUCUGACUUUGUAAAAUUUACCUGUAGGCCCGACACCAUUGCAAAUGUGUUGAGUUCUCUGAUUAGGGAGGUUGCUGUGCUUAUGGGGUCUGGUGUUGUGACCAUUAGGUCAUCUGCAAAGAGCCCUAAUUUAUAGGUUCUGCCUUUUAUUUCCACUCCCUUGAUGUCUGUGGCUGCUCGGAUGCGGAUUGCUAGGGGUUCCAGAGCCAGGAUAAAUAAGAAGGGAGACAGUGGGCAUCCUUGUUUCGUGCCUCUUUGGAUAGCUAUAGUGUUAGAAUCCAUAUUGUUAGUUCUGCAUUUUGCUGAGGCUUGGGAGUAUAUUUGUUUGAGGAUUUGUAGGAAGUUGGGGCCGAAUUUCAUGUUAGUUAGUACUGCUAGUAUGUAUUUCCACUCCAAGCAAUCAAAGGCUUUGAGGAUGUCUAGGGACAUAAUUGUCAAUGGGAGUUUGGUUGCCUUGCUGUGUUCGAUCAGGUUCAGUAGUUUCCUGAUGGGGUCUGUUAUAUUGCGGCCAGGGACAAAGCCAGUCUGGUCUGGGGCUAUUAACUUGUGUAGGAAGAUUUUUAGGCGGUUGGCCAAGAUUGAUGUGAAUAUCUUGUAGUCUUGGUUUAUUAAUGAGAUUGGGCGAUAUGAUUCUACUUUGAGGCUGUCUUUUAGUGGUUUGGGGAUGGAGACUAUUUUGGAGUGGGUCCAGGUUUUGGGGAUGGGGCCCCCUUUUAUGAUGUCGUUGAAUAGGCGGGUCAUGUAGGGCAUCAAGGGUUCUUUGAAUUUCUUAUAGAAUUCUGCUGUGAAGCCGUCUGGGCCUGGGGCUUUGUGUGGUUUCAGGUUUUUGAGGACCGCAUCUAUUUCCUCUGGGGUGAUAGGGCUGUCCAUGAAUUCCUGUUCCUCAUCAGUUAGGGUAGGCAUGGUCAGUCCUGCUAGAAAUGUUCUGAUUUCCUUCUCUGGUGGGUUAUGGGAGGUGUAUAGGUUGGAGUAGAAUUCUGCAAAUUCUGAGGUUAUUUCUUCGGGGAGAAUGUUAUGUUGCCGUCUUUUUGGUGAUGCAGUGUAUUCUUGUUUUGAGUGCUUUUUCCUGCAUCUAUUUGCUAGUGAUCUGGAGUUUUUCCCUCCAUAUUCGUAGAAACGUUGUUUAGAGUAUAGAAUGUUGAUCAUUGUUUUGUUAAUUUCUAGGAGUCUAGUUCUCUCCUUUUUUGUUCUAUAAGUUUGAGGAGUUUUUUAGAUCCUGUUUGUUUGUAGCGUGAUGAGAGGGCUGUGAUGUCUUGUUCUAUUUUGCUAAUUUUUGAGGAGGUUUGUUUUUUAAGGAAUGUUUUCUCUUUUAUGCAAGCUCCUCUGGUGACCGCUUUCAUUGCGUCCCAUAGGAGGGGUGUUGUUAUAUUGUUUACAUCGUUUUCUUUGAAGUAGUUUUGGAGGGUUUUUGUGAGACUCUCUCUAAUUUGUUUGUUUGUAGUUAGGAUGGGACUGAAGGACCAUGAUGGGGUGGUUUCUGUUCCUUCUCCUAUUUUAACAAUGACUUCUACUGGGGCGUGGUCUGUGAUUUUAAUGUUACCUAUGUUUGUUGAUUCUACUGAGGGGAUCAGACCCUGUGUGAGUAGAAUGCUGUCCAGUCUGGACACUGUAUCAUGGCGUCCCGAUUGGAAUGUAUGGCUGAUGUCUCCCGGGUUUUGCUCACCCCAAAUGUCGUAGAGACCCCUGUUUUUUUAGCAUUUUUAGUAACUUGUAAGAGUUCCUGGUUGUUGGGGGUUUCCUUUGGAGGAAGGUUGCCCAUGGGGUUGUGGGGUGGAUAUCUUUCAGGGAUAUACCUUUCAUAUUUAGAUUGAGGUCCCCUCCUAGGAUUGCUUCCCCUUCAGAGAAGGAGAGGAAUUUGUUUAGUGUCUUCUGGAAGAAUUCUAAUUGUUUCGUGUUUGGGGCAUAUAUGGAGCCGAUUGUCAGUUUGAUUUUGCCAUCUAGUGUCCCUUUAGCGAAAAUGAAUCUGCCUUUUUGUCCUUGAGGACUGUUGUGGCAGUGAAGUUCAGGUCUCUACUGAGUAUUAUGGCUACACCACGAGCUUUCCCUGAGCCUUGUGCGACCCACUGUUGACUGAAGCGGGGGUCACUCAGGAGUUUGCUGCCUUUGGGUGGGUUGUGUAUUUCUUGUAGGAAGGUGAUGUGUGGUUUCAUGGUGUUUAUGUAUGAGGUGAUGCGUUUUCUUUUGAUGGGGUUUCCCAGCCCCUCACGUUUAAUGUAAUUGCUUUUAGGUUAGCCAUCUUGCUUAUCUAUUAUGUGGGGCGAUUCCCUGCCAACCCAUUUGGGUUGUCUUGUGUCUCUCUCUUCGUGUUGUUUAAAGAACCAGUGGGGUUGCGCUGACCUAGGGUGUGGUGGGUGGGGGGCUAAUGGGAUUAGAGUAAGAUUUGGGUUAAAGAGUAGGGGGUAAGUUGUAGAGAGUUUCCUAUAUGUAGUCAUAUAGGUGUGUGUUUGGGGUAUUUUAGGCCAUCUGGCAUUUAGCCAGUUGGUCCUAGGUCUCAGCUGGUGUGGAAGGCCGUGUUCAAGGACAGGCCAUCCCCUGUUGUUUGCGAUAGGGGGUGAUCAGUGAGACAGUGUGAAGUGACUUUGUAACGUCGCUGUCAGGUAUAAGGUUCAUAAGCAAUGUUGCCAAUGUUAUGAGCAACAUUGUUGGUGUGUUGGGGUGGGGAUGUGGGUGCUGGUACGCUCUGUUGCCACCAUAGUGCUGGUUGGGUAUCAGAUUUUAGCCUGAUUGUGGGUUGUGUUAUUAAGGUUGGAGGAGUUGUUUUCCCUAGUAUGGAGUAUGGGGGUGUUGAAGGUGUGGGUGAUGGGGAGUGUGGUUGAGGUCGUCUGGACUGGUGUUGGGGCGGGGAUUCCUGUGGGGGUGCGGGGCUGGGGGGGAUGUUGAUGGUGUUAACUAAAUCUAUGUUUUGGGGGGGGGGGGGAAAUCACCAGUCCUUCAGUUUGUGGUUUUUUCCCUGGUUGCUUCAUUCAGCUGGGGUUGUUGUUGUUGUAGGGUUGUCCAUCUGUGAUGAAUUGGUUUGGUUAAUCUUGGUCUGGUUUCUUGUGUCGUAUGGCCGGCGGGACGGUUCUGAGCAUGAUGCUUGCCUGUAUUGGUUUGCGUUGUUGUGCCGCUUCUGUUGUUUCUUUUUCUUCUGUACCGUUGUCCAGUUGUUUGCUGUUGUUUCCUCGUGGUUGGGGCUGUCACUUGGUGGGUUUGUCGGUUGCCAUUCCGGUGGGAGGUUGAGUUCAAGGUUUUUAGUAGUUGCAGGGCCUCAGGUAUGUUGGUAGCCAUGUGUUGUGUUGUAUUGGUUGUUACAAUGAGGCGGAAGGGAAGCCCCAUCGGUAUUUGAUCCCUGCUUGUUGGAGACGCUGGGUGCAUGGGCGCAGGCUUUUCCUCCGGUUUAGGGUAUCCUGAGAUAGGUCCUGUAAGGCCAGAAUGGGGGUUUCUCCAUAUCGAAGGUUGGUUGAGUUUUUGAGGUGGUUCCAUACCUCUUCCUUCUUUUUGUAGCGUGUGAAGCAUACAAUGAUGUCUCUUGGGGGGGCGCUGGGUUUUGGCAUAGGUUUUAGGGCUCUGUGAGCCCUCUCCAAGUCAUCUGCCUCAAGUUUCAGGCUUGGGAUUGUGUUUUUCAGCCAGCGUAUAAUUAGGUCUGCUGGGCUUUUCUCCUCUGUUUUUUCAGGAAAGUUGCGGAAGCGGAUGUUACAACGUCUAUUGCGGUCUUCAAGGUCGGCUUGCUUAAUUUUCAUCUCUCUGUGUUCUGCUUCCAUUUGGUUUACCAGUUCGUCCAGUUUCUUGUUCACACGUGCGUUCUCCUCCCGGUAUUGCUCUAUUAUUCUUUCUUGCAUUUGGUUCUUGUUCUCUAGAGCUUCCACUUUGGAGGUUAGAUUGUUGAUUAGUACCUGCAUGGGAGCCAUUGUGGCCUUCAGUGUUUCUUCUAAUCGUGCUUCUAAUCUUGCUUCCAUUUCCCUCAGAUCUCGUUUCGUUAUUGGGUGGUCAUCAUCUUGAAGGGGAGUUACCAUCUUAGCAUUGUUUGCCAUCUCCCUGGUUGGUGUCAUCUCGGUCUCCCUGAUGGUUUUGGUUUGAGGUUGGCUUGGCGUCCUCUUGGGGUAGGGCGUGUGGUGGUUAGGAGUUGUGGCAGUGGUGAUUCCUGGGUAUUGUUGGGUUGCUGAGCUGAUCAGGCUUUGUUGGCUGGUGGCUUUUACAGAGCGUUUGGAUUAGGUGGUCAUUUGUGUCACUUCUAGCCUGUGUUUUAAGAACUUCUCUAGGGCUUCUGUAGAUGCCUCAGCGGUGCCACCGAGGCAGGGGGGGGCAGGUAAGCAGAGAUGGGUAGACUAAUGGACAGACAGUUCAUAUAAAGGGAGGGGGGUUAGCAAGUAGAGAUGCAAGAGAUUAGAGGGGUGGGGCCAGGGAAAUAUGUGUUUAGGAGGGGUUGUAUAUGCCCAAAAGGGGUAUUGGGGUCCAGUUAAGGUGGAAGUUGGGGUUGGGAGUGCGCUCAGAAACAGAGACAGACAAAUAGGCUAUAUGUAAAGGGUGGAGGGAGAAAAAGGAAGAAGAAGAAGAAAGAAAGAAGAAGGGGGGAGGCGGGGGGAGAGGGGAGAUUGGAGUAAAAGAGAAGAGAGAGAGAGAGAGAGACAAAAAGAGAGUUGAAAGAGAGAGGAGAGAUAGUACAGUAAUAUCAGCGGUGUUAGAUUGCAGCAGUAGUUUUAGCUAUAGUAUGAGGGGGGCAAAUUAUGAUAGGGUGAUAUGAAUGUGUGUAUGUGUUUCCUUUAGGGGAAGGGGGGGAUGGAGAGAGGGAGGAGGGAGAGAAAAGGAGAGGAGGAGGGGGAAGGGUGGGAAAAGGAAGGAGAAGAAAAGAGAGGGGGAGAGGGGAGGGAGGGUGAGCUGCUGCAAUGGUAUGGGGGAAAGUCUUAUUUUAAAAGAGGGGGUGGGGGGAGGGGGGAAAGGGCUCCCCUCUCAAAAACAAACUGACGAACAGGCUACACAGGGGGUUUUGAUUUUAAAAAAUAAAAGGGAUAGAAAACAAAAUUGGGGAUGGAAAAUGAAAGGUGGGAUAAAAGGGAAAAAUGAGGAGGGGUGAAGAGAGAGAGGGGAGAGCAAAAAGGGAGAGAAAAAUAAAAAAGGGGGAAGUUGUGGGGGAGAGUAUCAAUAGCAAUAGCAGUGAUAUGGAGGAAAUUUUUGUUUUAAAAGAGAGUGGUGGUCGUAGCUGGGGGUGAAAGAUUCCCCCCUCAAGAACAAGCCAACAAAUAGAAAAGAAAGGGCUUUAAAAAGAGAAAGGGGGGGGGAAUUGUAUGUUUUUUUAAAAAUAAUAAUAAUAAUAAUAAUAAUAUUUUCCCCUAAUUAUUGUUAUUAUUUUUUGUUUGUAAAAAAGUAAUUAAAAAUGUACAGGUAAAAGAUAAAAAUGAGAAUUAAAGGUAAAAAAAAGGGGGGUUGUCUUUAGAUAGAUAGAUGGAUAGAUAGAGCUUUUUAUUUUAUUUUUUUAAAAAAAUGAGUAAAGUAUAGGUAAAAGAGGAUAGGUAAAAGAGAGUGGAAUGUCAGGGGCGAAGUGGCAGUCCCAGGAAAUGGCCUGUGAUGGUUCAGGCCUGUUUUCUGGGUACUGCCAUUUUAAUUCUUAAGAGGGGAGUUUGAGGUGGAAAUAAAAUGAGGUUUAAAUUGAGUGUGUGUGUGUGUGUGUGGAAAAGUGUGUCUUUAAAUAGUGUGUAGAAAAGAAAUAAAAAUAAAGAUUCAAAUAAGGGGUGGCUGCAGCAGCAGUGGCCCCUCUUUUAAAAAGAAAAAUGAUAAAAGUAGGUAUAUGGGGGGGGAAUAAAAAAGAUUUUUUUUAAAAAAAAAAAGGGGAGAGGGGGAGGAAGGGGUUAAAAGGGAUUUUUUUAAAAAAAAAAAGGAAAAAAGAAGGGGGUAGUUUCUUCCUUUCUGCAAUAGAUCUCCUUUGUCAUGCGGCUUUCCUCUGUUUCCCUUGCUGCUGGAGGCCACGUGUUUCUUCGGAGCCUCUCUUGCCUUCCCGUGCUCACCUACCUCCCCUCUUCUUUCCCGUCGGCAGAGAUGGGGGCAGCAGUGGUAAAGUUGGGGUUCCUUUUUCUUUCUUUUUCUUCCUCUCUCCCCCUUUUUUUCGCCCUCUUUGCGUUAGCUCCACUGUCCUCCUGGUUUUGGAGCUCCUCUCGGCUGUUGGGGGGGUGGUCGGGUGCCUUUCCGGCUCAAUCAAGGUCGUGGGGGGGUGUUUUGGCUCCUUUGAUAGGCGCCCCAGGCACCCCCGAUUCCUCUCCGCUGGCAGUGCUGGCGGCAGCAGUCCUGGGGGUCCGGGAAUCGGCCAGACAGAGCCUUUUACUCUGGCUGGCUUCAGGAGCUCUUUUCUGCUGUUGCAGCCGCCAUGCUGCCUCGCCGGAAGUCCUGGUGUCUCGUGUCUUUAUUUAUCCUGGUGGGGGGCGGGAACUCGCCACGCAAAGCCACUUCCGGCCUGCCCAGGGGAAUCCCGGCCGUGUCUGCCCUAUUUAGGGCCGGCGCAGAGGGGGCUCACCCUCUUUUCGCCAGCUAGCCCCCACGUUUUCCCGCCCUCCCUCCCUUUAGUUAGGCUUUAGGUAGGUCUCUGACUUUGCUAUGGACUUCGGUCUGUCGCCGCAUGGGGCAUGGUAGGAAUUUUUCCCAAUGGGCAAUUUACAGCCAUUUGGUUUUUUGCCUACCUCGUAGCAACUUGUCACAACUCUUCGGCAUUGGCGGUAGGCAUUGGUAAGAAGGGGUUAAGAGGAUGUGUGCGGGGGGAGGAAUGCCAUCACCUCCCCCCAGUGAGCGAAGGGUGGUCCGUUAAAGGACUCCGGGGAGCGUGGCCCUGUCCGAAGCCUAUGGAGGUGUGGGCCAAAGGCACGCCCCCGAGCGGUGACCCGGGGGAGCUCCUAGUCGACGUGCCUCGGCAGGAGACUCCCCCGAUAUAGUGUUAACCCUUCCCCGUGUCUCCAGCAAAUGGGCUGGAGCCGGAUAGUCGUUAGGGCCAAUGCCCCUCAUUCCUGAAUUCAAUAAAGUUGUGGCCUAAUUCGCCCAUUUAACCUUAAACCAUGGUGUCUCGUGUCUUUAUUUAUCCUGGUGGGGGGCAGGAACUCGCCACGCAAUCAAAGCUUAUUUGUCGCAUAUGGAAGCGAAAAGACAAUGCUGUGUUAUUUUGGUCUCAUUACACACACAUUGAGAUUUCUGGAUCAACGUGCAUUAACACCAAAGAACACGACGAAUUAAGCGAAAUCAAAGAUUCUUCGUUCUAUGUAGCUGGAACCCAAAAGAACCUAUUUAGCUUUGUUUAGGCUUAUUACAAUUCGCUUUGCUAAUUGUGCGUGAAUGAACACCGAAAAAACAAUACAAGCUUAUUCGUCCACUUUCUAUUGAGAUGGAACCAAAGCACCUAUGCUUGGUUUGGGCUGAUAACAAACAUGUCACUCUGCGAUUUUUGGGUGAAUGUGCCUUCUAACCCCAAAAACACCAAUUUGAAAUGAGCCCAAUCAGAGCUUUAUAAUUUUCUUUUUAUGUAGAUGGAACCCAAAAGACCUUUUUGCUUUGGUUGGGGGUGAUUCUGGUGCACCCUGGGUAUAAAACCCCAUGCGAAUUGAAAUAAGCACAAUCAAAGCUUAUUUGUCUUCUUUCUACGCAUAUGGAAGCGAAAAGACAAUGUUGUGUUAUUUUGGUCUCAUUACACACACUUUGCGAUUUCUGGGUCAAUGUGCAUUAACACCAAAGAACAUGACUUGAAAUACGCGAAAUCCAAGAUUCUUCGUUCUAUGUAGCUGGAACCCAAAAGAACCUGUUUGGCUUUGUUUAGGCUUAUUACACUUCGCAUUUCUAUUUGUGGGGAUUGAACACCGAAAGAACAAUGCAAGCUUAUUUGUCCUCUUUCUAUUGAGAAGGAACCAAAACACCUAUGCUUGGUUUGGGCUGAUAACAAACAUGUCACUCUGCGAUUUUUGGGUGAAUGUGCCUUCUAACCCCAAAAACACCAAUUUGAAAUAAGCCCAAUGAGAGCUUUAUCAUCUUCUUUUUAUGUAGAUGGAACCCAAAAGACCUUUUUGCUUUGGUUGGUGGUGAUUCUGGUGCACACCCAUAAAACCCCAUGCGAACUGAAAUAAGCACAAUCAAAGCUUAUUUGUCUUCUUUCUACGCAUAUGGAAGCGAAAAGACAAUGUUGUGUUAUUUUGGUCUCAUUACACACACUUUGCGAUUUCUGGGUCAAUGUGCAUUAACACCAAAGAACACGACGAAUUAAGCGUAAUCAAAGAUUCUUCGUUCUAUGUAGCUGGAACCCAAAAGAACCUAUUUAGCUUUGUUUAGGCUUAUUACAAUUUGCUUUGCUAAUUGUUCGUGAAUGAACACCGAAAGAACAAUACAAGCUUAUUCGUCCACUUUCUAUUGAGAUGGAACCAAAGCACCUAUGCUUGGUUUGGGCUGAUAACAAACAUGUCACUCUGCGGUUUUUGGGUGAAUGUGCAUUCUAACCCCAAAAACACCAAUUUGAAAUGAGCCCAAUCAGAGCUUUAUCAUCUUCUUUUUAUGUAGAUGGAACCCAAAAGACCUUUUUGUUUUCGUUGGGGGUGAUUCUGGUGCACACCUAAAAAACACCACGCGAAUUGAAAUAAGCACACUCAAAGCUUAUUUGUCUUAUUUCUACGCGCAUGGAAGCGAGAAGACAGUGUUGUGCUAUUUUGGUCUCAUUACACACAUUGUGAGAUUUCUGGGUCAAUGUGCAUUAACACCAAAGAACACGAAAUAAGCAAAAUCCAAGAUUCUUCUUUCUAUGUUGCUGCAACCCAAAACAACCUGUUGGGCUUUGUUUAGGCUUAUUAGACGUUGCUUUGCUAUUUGUGGGGGACUGAACACCAAAAGAACAAUGCAAGCUUAUUCGUCCUCUUUCUAUUGAGAUGGAACCUAAACACCUAUGCUUGGUUUGGGCUGAUAAUAAACAUGUCACUCUGCUAUUUUUGGGUGAAUGUGCAUUCUAACCCCAAAAACACCAAUUUGAAAUAAGCCCAAUCAGAGCUUUAUCAUCUUCUUUUUAUGUAGAUGGAACCCAAAAGACCUUUUUGUUUUCGUUGGGGGUGAUUCUGGUGCACACCUAAAAAACACCACGCGAAUUGAAAUAAGCAAAAUCAAAGCUGAUUUGUCUUACAGUGGUGCCUCGCAAGAUGAAAUUAAUUCGUUCCGCGAGUUUUUUCGUCUAGCGAAUUUUUCGUCUUGCGAAGCACGGUUUCCCAUAGGAAUGCAUUGAAAUUCAAUUAAUGCGUUCCUAUGGUCAAAAAAAGUCCAAUCAUAGCCAAAUUUGGUACAACAAGAGUUUGUUAACUGCUCUUUAAAGUCACACAUACUUUAAAGAGCAUAUCUGUCAAGGCUGCCUCAAGUCUUAGCUCACAAAAGACCAACGCCUACGUCUUCUUGAAUACAAAGGUGUUUAUUGCAGUUCAUGGUUUGCUUGACAUCUUAGGCGCGCAGCCUUACGUCUCUUACGCUAGACCGCCGAAGUCCCGUCUGAGUCAGUCCCUCCUCUGCACCAAUUUAAGAGACUUGCGCUGCUCCACCUCUUUCUCUCCUUCCUUUUCCGCAGGGUCUUUCUGCCCCCUGGGGUUUGCCCCUUCUGGAUUCCUCUGACGCGGAAUCAGACUGCUGCUCCCCCUCCUGCGGGCUUUGGGACCUGGCCCCUCCUCCGGGCUCCCUGCACUUCCGCGCGCCUCUACAUUUGAACUAGGCGCGCGCGCCAAACCUCUAACUUUCCUUUUGACAGUUACACUGCUCCCUUCACUGCUCCCUCCCCUUCCGGGAGGGCUGCUUGCUCUGACCCCCUCCUCUCUCUGCUGCUGGAGCUCCUUCCUCUGACACACUGGAAACUCCACACCCUUCGCUGCACUUUGGUGGGGAGGCUGGUCCUGACGCCCAGCUGCCACUUUGGGAUCCUCCGCUGGCACCCUGCUCCUGACAUUUCCCCCCUGGGGCUCCCCUGGCCCUGACCACCAGCGCCCCCUUCUGGGAAUCCUCUGAUUCGCUGGAAAGACUCAUGGAAUCCCUUGAGUCAUUGUCGUCCUCUUCCUCGCUGGCUUGGAAUUCCUCCCCUUCGCUCUCCAUCUCCUGCCUACCCUGUGCCUCUCUCUCUGAACCCCUGACAAUAUCAAAAAUUGAAGGAACAAUAAAUUAAGUUUCUAAACAUGACAGGAAAAACAUUUAAAAAUCAAAAAAGGGUACAUUACAUUUUCUAAGACUCUGGGGGACCACUCGAAGAAGGUUCCUCUUCCACUCUUUGCUUCUUGCUGAGGAACCUGUCCAUGGUCUGCUGCUUCAUCCGCCUUUUCAGCAGCUCCCUGAGAGGCGACAUGACCGUCGUAUCAAAAAUGUUUGCUUGGUCAUGUGCCACGUGCUUGUCAGGGUGGUGCCGCUCUGCAAAAGCCUGCACCUCAUUCCACUUCUGGCAAAUGUCCCUCAGUUCUUUGGAGGACAGCCGUUCCUCAGUUGCUUCCUCCUCUUCCAGCGAGGCCUGCUCCUGCGCAACCUCUGACUGCAGUUCAACCAGCUCCUGGUCGUGCUCCUGGUCGUGGUCGUGCUCCUCCACCAGCUCGCAGACGUCCUCCUCUGUGACCUCCAGGCCCAUGGUCCUCCCCAAGGCAACAAUGUCCUGCACCACUGUCGACUCUGGUGCAUCAGAGUCACUUGGUGCCACACAGUCCGGCCACAGGCUGCGCCAAGCGCAAUUCAAAUUCCUCUGGCUGAUCCCCUUCCAGGCCGUGGUGAUCAUCUUCAAGCAGGUGACGAUGUCGAAGUGGUCCUUCCAGAAUUCCCGCAGGGUGAUGGUGGUGCAAUCAGUCACCUCGAAGCAUCGCCUGAAAAGCUCCUUGGUGUAGAGUUUCUUGAAAUUGGCGAUGACCUGCUGAUCCAUCGGCUGGAGCAGUGGCGUGGUGUUAGGCGGCAGGAACAUGAUGUUGAUGAAGCUGAACUCCUCCAACAAGUCCACCUCAAGGCCUUUAGGAUGAGCAGGAGCAUUGUCCAUCAGAAGCAAAGCCUUCAGCGGCAGGUCGUUGUCCAGCAGGUACUGUUUGACAGCAGGGCCAAAGGCAAGAUUGACCCAGUCCACAAACAGCACACGUGUGACCCAAGCCUUGCUGUUGGAUUGCCACAUGACACUCAGCCGCUCCUUGUCGACCUUGUGUUUCUUGAAGGCCCGUGGGUUCUCCGAGUGGUACACCAGCAGGGGCUUGAUCUUCAGGUCGCCGCUUGCGUUGGCACAGAAGAGCAGGGUCAGACGGUCCUUCAUGGGCUUGUGGCCAGGCAACUUGGCCUCCUCCUGUGUGAGGAAAGUCCUUUUGGGCAUCCUCUUCCAAAACAGCCCGGUCUCGUCGCAGUUGAAGACCUGCUGUGGAACGUAGCCCUCCGUCUUCACAACCUCCAGGAACUCCAAGGCAAAGUCUUCAGCCGCAGGAACAUCAGAACUGGCAGCCUCUCCAUGCCUGACCACGCUGUGGAUUCCGGAUCUUGCCUUGAACCGGUCAAACCAGCCUCUGCUUGCCUUGAAGACUUCUGGCUCGGCCGAGGUUCCUGGCUGUUCCCGGAUGAGGUCUGCGUGCAAGGCCUCGGCCUUCUCACAAAUCAUGGCCUCAGUCACUGUGUCCCCUGCACGCUGCUUCUCUUCUAACCAGAUGAGCAGCAACUUCUCGACCUCCUCCAGAACAGCUGGGCGGUUCUUCACGAUCCUGGUGACUCCCUUGGCUGCAUCAGUCGCAAGGAUCUUCUCUCUCAUCUUCAGGAUGGUCCCGAUGGUCGAUGGGUUCCUGCCGUACUCCCUGGCGAGGUCCGUCACACGCAUUCCACCAUCGUGCUUCCGGAUGAUCUCCUUCUUCAUCUCCAGCGUCACCUUCUCCUUCUUCCUCUCGCCGGCCUCCGCAGCAGCAGCCUUCUUGGGUCCCAUGGCAGCACAGCUGUUACCUUUGUAAACUCAGAAAAAGAAAAGAAAAAUCAGCAAUUCAAACCCACAACCAAGUCCUUGAAUUCCAAACACCCAACCCAAAAUCCAAAAACCCCAAAAAAGUUUUAAAAGUUUAACUUACGAAAUGGCUGCAAAUCACCAAAGUCUUCAAAAUCCUCAAAUGGCUGCAAAAGAAGUUUUGGGAAAGCUUUAAAAAUCACCAAAGUCUUCAAAAACCUCAACUGUUCCCCCAGCCCCUCCCCAACUGUUGCAAACCCCUCCCCAACUGUUGCAAACCCCUCCCCAGCUGUUCCCCCAGCCACCCAGCACACAGAAAUUCAAAACCCAGAAAUUUUUUUCAAAAAAACAACAACAUGGCCCAAUGGUUACAGAAAACCAUAAAAAUUCAAAAAAAAGCACACAAGCUCCCAGAUUCCUGCAAACCCCUCCCCAGCUGUUCCCCCAGCCACCCAGCACACAGAAAUUCAAAACCCAGAAAAUUUUUUCAAAAAAACAACAACAUGGCCCAAUGGUUACAGAAAACCAUAAAAAUUCAAAAAAAAGCACACAAGCUCCCAGAUUCCUGCAAACCCCUCCCCAGCUGUUCCCCCAGCCACCCAGCACACAGAAAUUCAAAACCCAGAAAAUUUUUUCAAAAAACAACAACAUGGCCCAAUGGUUACAGAAAACCAUAAAAAUUCAAAAACAGCACACAAGCUCCCAGAUUCCUGCAAACCCCUCCCCAGCUGGUCCCCCAGCCACCCAGCACACAGAAAUUCAAAACCCAGAAAAUUUUUCAAAAAAAAACAACAUGGCCCAAUGGUUACAGAAAAUCAUAAAAAUUCAAAAAAAAGCACACAAGCUCCCAGAUUCCUGCAAACCCCUCCCCAGCUGUUCCCCCAGCCACCCAGCACACAGAAAUUCAAAACCCAGAAAAUUUUUCAAAAAAAAACAACAUGGCCCAAUGGUUACAGAAAAUCAUAAAAAUUCAAAAAAAGCACACAAGCACCCAGAUUCGAGCAAACCCCUCCCCAGCUGUUCCCCCAUCCACCCAGCACACAGAAAUUUAAAACCCAGAAAUUUUUUCAAAAAAAAAACACCUGGCCCAAUGGUCACAAAAAACCAUAAAAAUUCAAAAAAAAAGCACACAAGCUCCCAGAUUCUUGCAAACCCCUCCCCAGCUGUUCCCCCAUCCACCCAGCACACAGAAAUUUAAAACCCAGAAAUUUUUUUCAAAAAAACAACAACAUGGCCCAAUGGGCACACACAACCAUAAAAAUUCAAAAAAAGCACACAAGCUCCCAGAUUCCUGCCAACCCCUCCCCAGCUGUUCCCCCAUCCACCCAGCACACAGAAAUUUAAAACCCAGAAAUUUUUUUCAAAAAAAAACAACAUGGCCCAAUGGUCACAAAAAAAACAUAAAAAUUCAAAAAAAACCACACAACAACCCACAAUCAUUCAAACACCUCCCCCCCUGUUCCCCCAUCCACCCAGCACACAGAAAUUUAAAACCCAGAAAUUUUUUUCAAAAAAAACAACAUGGCCCAAUGGUCACAAAAAAUCAUAAAAAUUCAAAAAAAAGCACACAAGCUCCCAGAUUCUUGCAAACCCCUCCCCAGCUGUUCCCCAUCCACCCAGCACACAGAAAUUUAAAACCCAGAAACUUUGUCAAAAAACAACAACAUGGCCCAAUGGGCACAAAAAAUCAUAAAAAGUCAAAAAAAGCACACACGCUCCCAGAUUCCUGCAAACACCUCCCCAGCUGUUCCCCAUCCACCCAGCACACAGAAAUUUAAAACCCAGAAAUUUUUUUCAAAAACAACAACAUGGCCCAAUGGUCACAAAAAUCAUAAAAAUUCAAAAAAAAGCACACAAGCUCCCAGAUUCUUGCAAACCCCUCUCCAGCUGUUCCCCCAUCCACCCAGCACACAGAAAUUUAAAACCCAGAAAUUUUUUUCACAAAAAAACAACAUGGCCCAAUGGUCACAAAAAAUCAUAAAAAUUCAAAAAAAACCCCACACAAGCUCCCAGAUUCUUGCAAACACCUCCCCAAAACCAAGUCCUUGAAUUCUAAACACCCCAACCGAAAAUCCAAAAAACCCAAAAAAAGUUUUAAAAGUUUAACUUACCAAACAGCUGCAGAAGAAGUUUUGGAAAAGCUUCAAAAAUCCAGCAAACUCUUUAAAAAGCUCAGAAAGGCCACCACACUGCGUGCAAUGUGUUGCUCCUCGAGGUCAAGUCGCAACUGCACCUCUUCCAGCAAUGCACCCUGGGUUUUAACGGUUUUACGAAAAGGAAACAAACUUGCAAGACGUUUUCGUCUUGCGAAGCAAGCCCAUAGGGACAUUCAUCUUGUGAAGCAACUCGAAAACGAAAAAACCUUUCGUCUUGCGAGUUUUUCGUCUUGCGAGGCGUUCGUCUUGCGGGGCACCAGUGUAUUUCUACGCGUAUGGAAGUGAAAAGACAGUGUUGUGUUAUUUUGGUCUCAUUACACACACUUUGAGAUUUCUGGGUCAAUGUGCAUUAACACCAAAGAACACGAAAUAAGCAAAAUGCAAGAUUCUUCUUUCUAUGUUGCUGCACCCGAAAACAACCUGUUUGGCUUUGUUUAGGCUUAUUACAGUUUGCUUUGCUAUUGGUGGGGGACUGAACACCAAAAGAACAAUGCAACUUUAUUCGUCCUCUUUCUAUUGAGAUGGAACCAAAACACUUAUGCUUGGUUUGGUCUGAUAAUAAACAUGUCACUCUGCGAUUUUUGUGUGAAUGUGCAUUCUAAACCCAAAAACACCAAUUUGAAAUAAGCCCAAUCAGAGCUUUAUCAUCUUCUUUUUAUGUAGCUGGAACCCAAAAGACCUUUUUGCUUUGGCUGGGGGUCAUUCUGGUGCACACCCAUAAAACCCCAUGCGAAUUGAAAUAAGCACAAAGCUACUUCCGGCCUGCCCAGGAGGUGGGGUUGCGGGCUUCACGCCCACCCCCCACGUGAGCGGGGGCUGGUUUCAGCCCCCGCGAGAGCAGGGGAAUCCCGGCCGUGUCUGCCCUAUUUAGGGCCGGCGCAGAGGGGGCUCACCCUCUUUUCGCCAGCUAGCCCCCACGUUUGUUUCCCGCAUAUCAGCUGUUCCUGUUUGUCGGAGAUCUUAUCUGCGUUGCCUGGAGCUUUCCUGCCUUGCUUCUUUGUUGCCUUUGUUCUUGAGCUGCAGGGCACCUCGUGGAAUUUGCUGUAGCUUCACAGAAAAAGCUCCCUUUCUUUUACAGAGAAUUUCCAGCAUUCGCUGCUGGUGUUGCUUGAUUUCUAAACUGCUUGAUGUUCAGGAGUUGUUAUCUCUAGUUUUGGAGCUGAAACCAAUUUGGGGCUUUUUUCCUUCUGGGCUCCCUUUUUCCCUUUGCGCUCCAUUCCAGCUGCUGCAGUUUAACACCGGAGCUGUAAUUGAGCUAAAAUCACUGUGUGUGUGUUUGUGUGCUUUCCUUCCAGCAUCUCUUUCACGUCUACAGUUUUACAGGGAGCUCUGUGUGUUUCGGUGCAAGUUCCCUGCCCUCAGGAGCUUGCCGUGCCUGCUGCUGCAUGCCCCCUUCAGAGGAAUUUAUCUAGCUUUGUGGAGCUUUUUCUGCUGAUCCGUUGCUUGCCCUCGGCUGCUGACUGCCUGUUCUGCAAGGAGCUCAAGGAAGAACGUUUGGCUCUGUAGCAGGAACCCCCCACCCCAAUCAUUCAGUUUGUACAAACUUCACACACUCACACUCACACACUACAUAUGCCACACUUCUGUUAUAAAUUCAUAGAAAAAUCAACCAUACAUCGGAUUUGCACUGUUCCAUUUUUAUUUUACUCCAUAUGACAAGGACUAUCAAAGGGGGGUGGCUUGGUUCUGGUCAGCCAUAAUCCCUUCACCAUCCCAGCACAUCCACAGGAGCCCUGCCCAG
This is a non-coding RNA of Podarcis lilfordi (Lilford's wall lizard), 25873 nucleotides long. NCBI's taxonomy places the organism in Eukaryota, Metazoa, Chordata, Lepidosauria, Squamata, Lacertidae. The record is from the annotation of a GenBank genome assembly.